Molecule: unclassified non-coding RNA, 1027 nt
Filed under: Hevea brasiliensis (rubber tree)
Lineage: Eukaryota; Viridiplantae; Streptophyta; Magnoliopsida; Malpighiales; Euphorbiaceae
Source: RNAcentral
GUUGAAGAUUACAAGUAAUCCAAUUAGGUAACAACGGAGGCAAAGCGGCACGCACAUGAGCAUGCCAGAGCAAUCAUUAAGAGAACUAAAAUAUGCUUACAGCCAAUUACCUAAAUUAACCCUUAAACUAUUUGGGAAAAGUCCAAUGCACCCUGAAUUUUUUUAUUUUGAUCCAUUACAUCAAUAAUUUUUUAUUUUUGACCUAUUGCACCAUUUAAUUUGUAAUUUUCUAACCAAUAGACAGAUUUUCAAAUUUGUCAAUAGAAAAUGAUUAAAUAUAUCACCUAAUAUAUCCCUAUUUUUUCAAUUUAUAAUGGAUUAUACUUUAUUAUUUAAUCAUUAGUGGGUAAAUUACUAUAGGGUCCCUGUAUAAUGGAAAAAUUCAUUAGUAGAUCCCUAAAAUUUAAGACCCAAUUAAAAUGUUCCUCAUUUUUGUAAAAUUCAACUAUUUGGUCCUUCUAUUAGCCUUAACAGGCGGAAAACAUUAGUCAAUAGUUAUAGCCUUGGUCAGAGGAAAGAAAAUAUAUUUCUCUUCCAAAAUUAACCCCAUUUCUAUCAUUUUGUUCCUCUGCCCCAAAAUGAAGGUCCUCCCCAAACUCACAAUGGCCCUUUCCCUCUUACUUCCACCCGUCCACCACCACCACUCCUACAGACGGCCGCCACCCCCCACCAUCACCGCAGCCACCGCCAUCUAUAACCUCUGGUUUCACUUGCCUCUACCAAACAGAACUUGGUCUCUUCUAUUACCUGGUCCCGCACCCUUCUUAGGCCAAUCUCUCCAGACCCAACAUUUUGCUACUCUUCCCCAACACAGAAACUAGAGCCUCCAUUGCUAUUUGAGAGAGACCCACAUAAAGCCUUAUUCAAUCGAAACAGAGAACCUCCACAACAUUCACCUGCAUGCCAUUGCUCGCAGUUUCCCUAUUUUCCCAGAAAUCAUCAUCUAGAUAGCCCUUCAAUCACAUAAGGCCACCCUUUUCCUCUCACAAGUUCCUUUCAGCACCGCCGUGUGAGGAAGAACCAGUUG